AGAACUGGAGUUUGUUGACUC
This 21-nucleotide microRNA is filed under the name Picea abies (Norway spruce). RNAcentral describes it as "pab-miR11426a". Lineage: Eukaryota; Viridiplantae; Streptophyta; Pinopsida; Pinales; Pinaceae. The record is from miRBase by way of RNAcentral.